AUGGCUUCUUCCGGUUCCAUGACAAGGCCCCCGUGUGCUAACCGCGAGGACACGCCGGACAAGUGGACAGACGCCGAGUUGGAUAAGGUGAAGGACAAAGAUAUGAGAACUCCAUCAUGUUGGUGUGGAGAUGUUUGCAAAGUUAAGGUAUCCACCGACCGCAAGAAAUCAUGGACAGAAGGAAGAAGAUAUUUUGUUUGUCCCAACUAUGCCUAUGAUCGUCCUCGUCCAGCUCACGUCUAUGAUGUACUGUCGGUAAAUUGUUGA
Molecule: ribosomal RNA, 267 nt
Filed under: Triticum aestivum (bread wheat)
Lineage: Eukaryota; Viridiplantae; Streptophyta; Magnoliopsida; Poales; Poaceae
Description: partial small subunit ribosomal RNA
Source: RNAcentral